GUCUACGGCCAUACCACUCUGAAUGCGCCCAAUCUCAUCUGAUCUUGGAAACUAAGCAGGGUCAGGCCUGGUUAGUACUUGGACGGGAGAGUGGGAUCCUUCACAAUCGGUGGAGACA
Molecule: ribosomal RNA, 118 nt
Filed under: Prolemur simus (greater bamboo lemur)
Lineage: Eukaryota; Metazoa; Chordata; Mammalia; Primates; Lemuridae
Source: RNAcentral